RNAcentral lists this ribosomal RNA (305 nucleotides) under uncultured bacterium. RNAcentral describes it as "bacterial SSU rRNA". It matches the Rfam family "Bacterial small subunit ribosomal RNA", at positions 334 to 650 of the family's 1533-position model. The record is from RNAcentral.
CAAGCCUACGGGGCGCAGCAGUCGAGAAUCAUUCACAAUGGGGGAAACCCUGAUGGUGCGACGCCGCGUGGGGGAAUGAAGGUCUUCGGAUUGUAAACCCCUGUCAUGUGGGAGCAAAUUAAAAAGAUAGUACCACAAGAGGAAGAGACGGCUAACUCUGUGCCAGCAGCCGCGGUAAUACAGAGGUCUCAAGCGUUGUUCGGCAUCACUGGGCGUAAAGCGUGCGUAGGCUGUUUCGUAAGUCGUGUGUGAACGGCGCGGGCUCAACCCGCGGACGGCACAUGAUACUGCGAGAAUAGAGGAAG